UACGUAGGGACCAAGCGUUGUUCGGAUUUACUGGGCGUAAAGGGCGCGUAGGCGGCGCGGUAAGUCACUUGUGAAAUCUCUGAGCUUAACUCAGAACGGCCAAGUGAUACUGCAGUGCUAGAGUGUGGAAGGGGCAAUCGGAAUUCUUGGUGUAGCGGUGAAAUUCGUAGAUAUCGGGAGGAACACCAGUGGCGAAGGCGGAGACCUGGGCCAAUACUGACGCUGAGGUGCGAAAGCGUGGGGAGCAAACAGG
RNAcentral lists this ribosomal RNA (253 nucleotides) under uncultured bacterium. RNAcentral describes it as "partial 16S ribosomal RNA". It matches the Rfam family "Bacterial small subunit ribosomal RNA", at positions 524 to 776 of the family's 1533-position model. The record is from RNAcentral.